AAUAAUGUGCCUGACGAAAAGGGCUAUUUUGAUAGAAUAGAUAAUGUAAUUCUACCAUUAUUU
This 63-nucleotide transfer RNA is filed under the name Proisotoma minuta. Its description in RNAcentral is "tRNA-Ile". Lineage: Eukaryota; Metazoa; Arthropoda; Collembola; Entomobryomorpha; Isotomidae. The record is from RNAcentral.